UACGGAGGGUGCAAGCGUUGUUCGGAAUUAUUGGGCGUAAAGGGCGUGUAGGUGGCUCGCCAAGUCUGGUGUGAAAGCCCACGGCUCAACCGUGGAACUGCAUUGGAAACUGGCGAGCUCGAGUAUUGGAGGGGGUCGCGGAAUUCCCGGUGUAGAGGUGAAAUUCGUAGAUAUCGGGAGGAACACCAGUGGCGAAGGCGGCGACCUGGCCAAUUACUGACACUGAGACGCGAAAGCGUGGGGAGCAAACAGG
RNAcentral lists this ribosomal RNA (253 nucleotides) under uncultured bacterium. RNAcentral describes it as "partial 16S ribosomal RNA". It matches the Rfam family "Bacterial small subunit ribosomal RNA", at positions 524 to 776 of the family's 1533-position model. The record is from RNAcentral.